UGGUUGGGACCAUGACUGUGGAUAUGACGGCGUCAAUGCAGAACACAGUCUUGCUC
RNAcentral lists this small RNA (56 nucleotides) under Arabidopsis thaliana (thale cress). RNAcentral describes it as "ATSL191810". The record is from RNAcentral. Lineage: Eukaryota; Viridiplantae; Streptophyta; Magnoliopsida; Brassicales; Brassicaceae.